UCAGUUAUCGUUUAUUUGAUAGUACCUUACUACUUGGAUAACCGUGGUAAUUCUAGAGCUAAUACAUGCUAAAAACCCCGACUCGCGAAGGGGUGUAUUUAUUAGAUAAAAAACCAAUGCCCUUCGGGGCUCCUUGGUGAUUCAUGAUAACUUAACGAAUCGCAUGGCCUUGCGCCGGCGAUGGUUCAUUCAAAUUUCUGCCCUAUCAACUUUCGAUUGUAAGGUAUUGGCUUACAAUGGUUUCAACGGGUAACGGGGAAUUAGGGUUCUAUUCCGGAGAGGGAGCCUGAGAAACGGCUACCACAUCCAAGGAAGGCAGCAGGCGCGCAAAUUACCCAAUCCCGACCCGGGGAGGUAGUGACAAUAAAUACUGAUACAGGGCUCUUUUGGGUCUUGUAAUUGGAAUGAGNACAAUUUAAAUCCCUUAACGAGGAACAAUUGGAGGGCAAGUCUGGUGCCAGCAGCCGCGGUAAUUCC
Molecule: ribosomal RNA, 477 nt
Filed under: Stamnaria sp. DH-2016
Lineage: Eukaryota; Fungi; Ascomycota; Leotiomycetes; Helotiales
Description: SSU rRNA
Rfam family: Eukaryotic small subunit ribosomal RNA
Source: RNAcentral